GCUGGCGGCAUGCCUUACACAUGCAAGUCGAACGGCAGCACGGGAGUAAUCCUGGUGGCGAGUGGCGAACGGGUGAGUAAUAUAUCGGAACGUGCCCAGUCGUGGGGGAUAACGUAGCGAAAGCUACGCUAAUACCGCAUACGAUCUACGGAUGAAAGCGGGGGACCCGUAAGGGCCUCGCGCGAUUGGAGCGGCCGAUAUCAGAUUAGGUUGUUGGUGAGGUAAAAGCUCACCAAGCCUGCGAUCUGUAGCUGGUCUGAGAGGUCGACCAGCCACACUGGAACUGAGACACGGUCCAGACUCCUACGGGAGGCAGCAGUGGGGAAUUUUGGACAAUGGACGCAAGUCUGAUCCAGCAAUGCCGCGUGCAGGACGAAGGCCUUCGGGUUGUAAACUGCUUUUGUACGGAACGAAACGGUCUGCUUUAAUACAGUGGGCUAAUGACGGUACCGUAAGAAUAAGCGCCGGCUAACUACGUGCCAGCAGCCGCGGUAAUACGUAGGGUGCGAGCGUUAAUCGGAAUUACUGGGCGUAAAGCGUGCGCAGGCGGUUAUAUAAGUCAGAUGUGAAAUCCCCGGGCUCAACCUGGGACCUGCAUUUGAGACUGUAUAGCUAGAGUACGGUAGAGGGGGAUGGAAUUCCGCGUGUAGCAGUGAAAUGCGUAGAUAUGCGGAGGAACACCGAUGGCGAAGGCAAUCCCCUGGACCUGUACUGACGCUCAUGCACGAAAGCGUGGGGAGCAAACAGGAUUAGAUACCCUGGUAGUCCACGCCCUGAACGAUGUCAACUGGUUGUUGGGUCUUCACU
Molecule: ribosomal RNA, 807 nt
Filed under: uncultured beta proteobacterium
Lineage: Bacteria; Pseudomonadati; Pseudomonadota; Betaproteobacteria
Description: bacterial SSU rRNA
Rfam family: Bacterial small subunit ribosomal RNA
Source: RNAcentral